RNAcentral lists this long non-coding RNA (461 nucleotides) under Mytilus galloprovincialis (Mediterranean mussel). Lineage: Eukaryota; Metazoa; Mollusca; Bivalvia; Mytilida; Mytilidae. The record is from RNAcentral.
AAAAUAAUUUAAGACAGCAGAGAAGAUAAUUCUGUUUUAAUUGGUUUACUAACAUAGAUGUAUUACAUCUAUGUUAUUACUAACCGACUUAAAUAAAAGAGUGAGCUAUUAAUACUCUGAAUGUAUGAUGUCUCUAGUCUGGUCAAAGGGUCAGAGUGUCCUACUUAAUUAAACUAUAAAUUGUAGAAAUUAGAUAACCUGUUUCCACGUGCAGAGAAAUUUCACUUAUGACCAAUGCAUGAUUGGAUUUCAUCUUUCUUAUUGGUCAAUGAUCUUGCGGGUCAGCACGAGUUCACGUGUAAGUGCAUUAUGGUCACUUCCUUUUAUCAUCAGCAUUUGAUGUGUUAACUUGUGAUUCUUAUCAAACAAUUUGUUCAAAAUUAUAUGUGAUUUUGUUUUUUGUUUUAUGGAUAGUUUUGGACUGGAGUGAUUUCAUUUUAGCUAUUUCAGGUAUAAUCGAA